This is an RNA transcript of Quercus robur (English oak), 3053 nucleotides long. It is a transcript of the gene named G-type lectin S-receptor-like serine/threonine-protein kinase SD2-5, with no coding region annotated. Lineage: Eukaryota; Viridiplantae; Streptophyta; Magnoliopsida; Fagales; Fagaceae. The transcript is spliced from 4 exons. The record is from RefSeq and is a predicted model, not a curated record.
AUACUAACGUACAGAAGCUCAAGCCAAUUUAAGAAAGAAAUAAGUGGUUGAAGCCUUAAAGGCUUGCAAGCAUUUGGUACGAGUGGAUGACAGCUAAGCUUGCCUAAGCAUGGGUUUGUCCGUCCAUCAUCUACAACAACUUGACCUUCACUGUGACAGUCAAGCAAAGAGACCUGCCGAAAUGGUGAAAACGCAGCGAAAGCGAGAGAGACAAAGACAGUGAAGAAGAAUAAGAAGCAAUAGCAAUGCAACCUCAUUGUUUGACAGCAUCUCAUGGUGUUUGAAGCUUCAACAAUGGCUACAAUGUGUACAAGCUGGGCUUCCUGUGCUGUUCUGCUUUAUCUUGUUCUAUUUCUAACACCAUGUUGUCCAAUCCUAGUCACAGCCUUGCCAGCUCUCAGUUAUCUGACUCCAAACGCUUCUACUUCAUGGACCAACAGUCUUUCCGCUCCUGAUUCUGUGAAAUUUGAUGAUGGAUCAUUUGCGAGAAUCAUACUUGCACGUGAAUUCAACCAUUAUUUUAAGACUGGUUGUGGCUGUGGCUUCUUCUAUAAUCAAACGCGCAACACUCAUGUCUUUGCCAUUUUCACUCUUUCUUAUGACGACGUCAACGCUGUCAAUAUUUCGAAAUCUAAAGAUCCAAAAGUAGUAUGGUUUGCUAACCCAGAGAAUCCGGUUAGCAUUAAUGCGACUUUGCAGCUUACUUCAGAAAAAGGUUUGGUGUUAAAAGAUGCUAAAGGAACUACAGUGUGGUCCACGAACAUCCUCAGCAAAUCUGUGGCUGGCCUAAACUUAACCGAAAUGUGCAACCUCCAGCUCUUGGAUGACAAGAGUGCAACAGUUUGGCAGUCUUUUGAUCACCCAACAGACACACUGGUUGUUGGCCAAAAAUUGGUGGCAGGGCAGCAACUCACUAGUCAAGGAGGAUUGUUUUCGCUCCAUGUCACCAGGCAAGGAAUCUUUGCUUAUGUCAGUUCUAAUCCUCCCCAACGCUAUUUUACUUAUACAAGUGAUAACACCAGUCAUAUUCAAUUUCUUGAGGACAGAAUGACUUUCUCCAGCAAUACAAAUACAGAUUUUCCUCUUCCUUCAUCAAACUUCUUCCCAAAUCGGUAUAUGACACUCGGGGCUGACAAUGGACGCUUGAAAGUGUAUGAUAUACUUUGGGGGGAGGUAUUCGAUUUUUUCGAUAGAUUAAAAGUUCUACCCUGUCUUUUCCCUACAGUUUGCGGCAAUUACGGUAUUUGUAGUAACGGCCAGUGUAGCUGUCCUAGACCUAUAAAUGCAACAGGCUAUUUUCAGGCCACAAAGGAAACGCAACCUGACCAUGGCUGCUCCCUGAUUACUCCCUUGUCUUGUGAAGUUUCCAAAAAUCACAUUCUUUUAGAGCUCAAGGAGAUCACAUACUUUCCCUUUACUCAAGACCCUCCAGGUAUAAAUCCAGCUCAUCAACAUAUAAAUUUAGAUAGUUGUAAACAGGCUUGCUUAAAAGAUUGUUCGUGCAAAGCUGCUUUUUAUAAUUCAAGCAAAAGUUUAGGGAAUUGCUAUUUACUAUCCCAAAUUUAUUCACUUAUGGCCGUUGAUCAAGAUAAUACAGACUUCAAAGUAUACAUUAAGGUCCAAAAUCCUAUUCAACAGCAGACAAACCAGCAGACAAACCAUAGAAAGAAGAAACAAGUAAUAAUGGGAUCUAGCCUCGGAUCUUUGCUUGUUAUUUUUCUUUUAAUUGGAAUCUUUGCUUUACUAUUUUGGAAGAAGGAAAAUGCAGAUGAAGCAGAGGAGUAUUAUUUGGAUCAUGUACCGGGGAUGCCCACAAGAUAUUCUUAUGAUGAUUUACAAGCAAUAACAGAAAAUUUCAAUAAGGAACUGGGUAGGGGAGGAUUUGGCACAGUUUUUGAAGGGACUCUACUUGAUGGCACAAAAGUUGCAGUGAAGUGUCUUGAUAGUUUUAGUCAGAUCAAGAAAUCAUUUUUGGCAGAAGUUGAAACAAUUGGCAGCAUCCAUCAUAUUAAUUUGGUAAGACUAAUUGGAUUUUGUGCUGAGAAAUAUCAUAGGCUUCUUGUUUAUGAGUACAUGUCUAAUGGGUCUUUAGAUAGAUGGGUAUUUCACAAAAAUCCUGAGAUGUUGCUUGAUUGGAAACUUAGAAAGAAGAUCAUCAUUGAAAUUGCAAGGGGACUAUCUUAUUUACACGAGGAUUGUAGGCAAAAGAUAGUUCACUUGGAUAUAAAACCACAUAACAUCCUCUUAGAUGAGAAUUUUAAUGCAAAAGUCUCUGAUUUUGGGUUGUCUAAACUAGUUGACCAUGACCAAAGCCAAGUUGUGACAAACAUGAGAGGGACUCCUGGCUAUAUGGCUCCAGAAUGGUUGAGUUCAAUGAUUACAGAAAAGGUAGAUGUCUAUAGUUUUGGAGUAGUACUCUUGGAGAUUUUGUGUGGAAGGAGAAAUUUUGAUCACUCUCAGCCAGAGGAAGCAAUGCAUCUACUUGAUCUUUUCAAGAAAAAUAUUGUGGAGGAUCGGUUGCUCGAUUUGGUUGAUAAGUGCAGUGAAGAUAUGCAAUUACAUGGAGGUGAAGUUGUGAAUACGAUGAGAGUUGCAGCAUGGUGUUUGCAAAAUGAUUUCACAAGGAGGCCUUCCAUGUCUAUGGUGGUUAAGGUCUUAGAGGGUGCUGUGAAUGUUGAAUCUGACCUAGAUUACUUCUUCUCCAAUCCAUCUUUACCAAACAUGAGAGCUGGAGUUGAAAAUCAGGAAGUGCACAUAGUUGCUGCUUCUUCAUUAUUUCCUUCAAUUCUAUCAGGACCUCGAUAACUUUUCACUGUACCAUAAUGAGGCAGCUGGCGGCAACAUUUCAGCAAAUCGAGUUUAAUCACUGCUACCGGAAAGCUAACCAGUGUGCUGAUAUGCUCGCUAGAAUGGGUGCCGAACAGGAGUUACAUUUUCUUUUGUUUAAUAGUCCGCCUGUGGAGGUUCUUUCUGCUUUUGAGGAUGACUGUACUGGAGUGUAUUUUAACAGGCUGUGUCCUGAACUUGAUGUAGUGUUUUAGUUUUUUGAUGCA